Molecule: long non-coding RNA, 1522 nt
Organism: Ziziphus jujuba (common jujube)
Lineage: Eukaryota; Viridiplantae; Streptophyta; Magnoliopsida; Rosales; Rhamnaceae
Exons: 3
Source: RefSeq, a predicted model, not a curated record
UUGCGGAUCCUAUAUAAUCCAGCUUGAAAAUAAAUUGAUGGAGGUGCAGCAACAUAGCUCGGCAGUUCGGCGCAGCUCGGCAACUCGGCAGCUCGGCAGCAGCAGCUCGGGCAGCAACACAGUAGCUCGGCAACAGCAGCUCGGCAGCAACACAGCAAGCAAGGCAGCAGCAAUAACAAGCUCGGCAGCACCAGCAACAGCACCAGCAGCAAUAUAGCUCGGCAGCAGCAGCUCGGCAGCAACACAGCAAGCUCGGCAGCAGCAGCAACAAGCUCGGCAGCAGCAGCAACAGCACCAGCAGCAGCAGCAGCAACAGCAAGCUCAAAACAGCAGCGGCUUCAUCAUGAACAGUAACAGAUGCUAAAACAGGGGAGAACAGAGUGCUACAGUACAUACAAAUGAAACCCAAUUUAAAUCUUGUGGCCGUUAGCUUGCAUGUGCCAAGGUUCACGUGACCCAAAUCAAAAACACACCAUUGUGAUCUUUCUAGAAUAAUUGUUUAAAAUGCACCGUUUUCAUUUUAGGUUUAUAUAUAUAAUAGUUUGACACCUUUGGGGUAGACAAUUUUUAUCUUCUUCAACAUAUGAAAUAGAUUGGUGACCAAGCAAAUUUCAGCAGCUUCUUUUGCUGGUUGUUUGUGAAUGAUAUCAUGUAAUUAUUACUACACCUUCUGCUGGCUCCUCUUGACUGCUUCUCUCACUUCCCGAAGCUCUGAGCUGCAGAAGUAAGCUCUCCUAGUUUGGUAGCAGGCAUGGCAGUUGAUGGCCUCAAGUUGAUUUUCCAUGUUUUCUAAUCACAACUAGUUCCAAGCAUGUUUGGGCGUUUGCAGUAACUGGUUGAUAUAUUAAAGUGCUCGAGGUUAUUAUUUUUUUUUUUUUCCUUUUUGGUUUGGCGAUCAUGCAUAUUGAAUAAAUACACAUUCAUAUGUAGCUCUUAUUCCUUCAUAUAAAAACAAAACCAUUCAACAUUAUAACUCAUUCUGUAAAAUGGAUUCAGUAAUAUACUUGUGAAAUGCAACAGUAAUUUUUUUCUCAAAAUGGUUUUUUACAAGAAAUCCACGAAAUUUGCCAAAUACUUUUGGCGUCAAGGUCCUCUCUAAGAAAGAUGACUUCAACAACCAAGACAGCUUCUUGAGGGAAGUUCCGAUAGUAAUUUGGAGCUUCUACCAGUUAGGAGAGUUAUUUUAGGGGGGUGGAAAUGUUUACAAGUUGGUUUUGUUGUUUUUUUCUUGCACAACCAAAACCAGACCAACCUCAAAAGUAUAUGUGAUGAAUAUACGAUAGAAACCAUAACAUUCUAGGAGACUCAAAAGAGUUUUGUUUAUCUGUAUUGGGCCACUCUGGAUAGAUAUAUUGGCCAGAAACUUAAGAUGCAUAAACUGGUAACUCAAAAGACAAGAAAUAGUUCAACCUUGCAGGAUAAAAUCUUACAUGACCUAAUUGUUGACAGCUUAUAGUUCCAAGUUCUCCAUUUUAUCCAAAUUUCUGAACUCUCUUGUGGAUGUUGACCUGCUGACACGAUU